Molecule: ribosomal RNA, 253 nt
Filed under: uncultured bacterium
Lineage: Bacteria
Description: partial 16S ribosomal RNA
Rfam family: Bacterial small subunit ribosomal RNA
Source: RNAcentral
UACGAAGGGGGCUAGCGUUGUUCGGAAUUACUGGGCGUAAAGCGCACGUAGGCGGAUAUUUAAGUCAGGGGUGAAAUCCCGCAGCUCAACUGCGGAACUGCCUUUGAUACUGGGUAUCUUGAGUAUGGAAGAGGUAAGUGGAAUUCCGAGUGUAGAGGUGAAAUUCGUAGAUAUUCGGAGGAACACCAGUGGCGAAGGCGGCUUACUGGUCCAUUACUGACGCUGAGGUGCGAAAGCGUCGGGAGCAAACAGG